This 72-nucleotide transfer RNA is filed under the name Nanobdellota archaeon. RNAcentral's name for it is "tRNA-Arg". It matches the Rfam family "tRNA". From Rfam's summary of the family: Transfer RNA (tRNA) molecules are approximately 80 nucleotides in length. Their secondary structure includes four short double-helical elements and three loops (D, anti-codon, and T loops). Further hydrogen bonds mediate the characteristic L-shaped molecular structure. tRNAs have two regions of fundamental functional importance: the anti-codon, which is responsible for specific mRNA codon recognition, and the 3' end, to which the tRNAs corresponding amino acid is attached (by aminoacyl-tRNA synthetases). tRNAs cope with the degeneracy of the genetic code in two manners: having more than one tRNA (with a specific anti-codon) for a particular amino acid; and 'wobble' base-pairing, i.e. permitting non-standard base-pairing at the 3rd anti-codon position. The record is from RNAcentral. Lineage: Archaea; Nanobdellati; Nanobdellota.
GGGCGCAUAGUUUAACGGACAGAACUUUCGGCUUCGGACCGGAAAAUGGGGGUUCAAUUCCUCCUGUGCCCA